RNAcentral lists this ribosomal RNA (522 nucleotides) under uncultured bacterium. Its description in RNAcentral is "bacterial SSU rRNA". It matches the Rfam family "Bacterial small subunit ribosomal RNA", at positions 988 to 1509 of the family's 1533-position model. The record is from RNAcentral.
CCAGAGAAUUUAGCAGAGAUGCUUUAGUGCCUUCGGGAACUCUGAGACAGGUGCUGCAUGGCUGUCGUCAGCUCGUGUUGUGAAAUGUUGGGUUAAGUCCCGCAACGAGCGCAACCCUUAUCCUUUGUUGCCAGCACGUAAUGGUGGGAACUCAAAGGAGACUGCCGGUGAUAAACCGGAGGAAGGUGGGGAUGACGUCAAGUCAUCAUGGCCCUUACGAGUAGGGCUACACACGUGCUACAAUGGCGCAUACAAAGAGAAGCGACCUCGCGAGAGCAAGCGGACCUCAUAAAGUGCGUCGUAGUCCAGAUUGGAGUCUGCAACUCGACUCCAUGAAGUCGGAAUCGCUAGUAAUCGUAAAUCAGAAUGUUACGGUGAAUACGUUCCCGGGCCUUGUACACACCGCCCGUCACACCAUGGGAGUGGGUUGCAAAAGAAGUAGAUAGCUUAACCUUCGGGAGGGCGUUUACCACUUUGUGAUUCAUGACUGGGGUGAAGUCGUAACAAGGUAGGCGUAGUGCU